Molecule: ribosomal RNA, 612 nt
Filed under: uncultured Acidobacteriota bacterium
Lineage: Bacteria; Pseudomonadati; Acidobacteriota
Description: bacterial SSU rRNA
Rfam family: Bacterial small subunit ribosomal RNA
Source: RNAcentral
AUUCAAUUAGAGUUUGAUCUGGCUCACAAUCAACGCUGGCGGCGUGCCUAACACAUGCAAGUCCAACGCGAAAGGGGAGCAAUCCCUGAGUAGAGUGGCAAACGGGUGAGUAACACGUGGGUGACCUGCCCUCGAGUGGGGGAUAACGUCCCGAAAGGGACGCUAAUACCGCAUGACAUCCUGCCUUUGGACAGGCGGAAAUCAAAGCUGGGGAUCGCAAGACCUGGCGCUCGAAGAGGGGCCCGCGCCUGAUUAGCUAGUUGGUAGGGUAACGGCCUACCAAGGCGACGAUCAGUAUCCGGCCUGAGAGGGCGGACGGACACACUGGGACUGAGACACGGCCCAGACUCCUACGGGAGGCAGCAGUGGGGAAUUGUUCGCAAUGGGCGCAAGCCUGACGACGCAACGCCGCGUGGAGGACGAAGAUCUUCGGGUCGUAAACUCCUGUCGAGCGGGACGAAACCCGCGGGGAUGAACAAUCCCUGCGGUUGACGGUACUGCUAAAGGAAGCCCCGGCUAACCCCGUGCCAGCAGCCGCGGUAAUACGGGGGGGGGCAAGCGUUUGUUCGGAAUUACUGGGGCGUAAAGGGCUCGUAGGCGGCCAACUAAGUC